GGAAGUAAAAGUCGUAACGAGGUUUCCGUAGGUGAACCUGCGGAAGGAUCAUUAUUGUAUAACCGAGGUGCGAGGGCUGUCGCUGACCCGAAAGGUCGUGCACGCCCGAGUGCCCUCACACACAUCCAUCUCACCCCUAUGUGCACCACCGCGUGGGUCCCCCUUUGGCUUGUUCGGAGGGGGGCUUACGUUUUCACACAAACUUUGUAUGUAGUGUAGAAUGUAUUUUUUGUUUUUGCGAUCACGCAAUCAAUACAACUUUCAACAACGGAUCUCUUGGCUCUC
Molecule: unclassified non-coding RNA, 285 nt
Filed under: plant metagenome
Description: partial contains small subunit ribosomal RNA, internal transcribed spacer 1, and 5.8S ribosomal RNA
Rfam family: Eukaryotic small subunit ribosomal RNA (bases 1-54)
Source: RNAcentral